Molecule: ribosomal RNA, 375 nt
Filed under: Cantharellus cascadensis
Lineage: Eukaryota; Fungi; Basidiomycota; Agaricomycetes; Cantharellales; Hydnaceae
Description: eukaryotic LSU rRNA
Rfam family: Eukaryotic large subunit ribosomal RNA (bases 310-375)
Source: RNAcentral
ACCGGUUGGUUAGCUGGGGAUUGGGCUUGCUUGGGGCGAUUGCUCUGGCUUGCCUUAAAAUCAAGCGUUGUGUGGAUUGGACUUUCAAGCAUGCAUUGGGGACGCAGGCUCUGCGCUAUGGCAAGCCCUUGACCGUCAUAGGUGCUUUGAUUGGGGUUUUCAGUCUAGCCAACAAGGCUGGGUUGAAGGACUUUGGGGCUGCAUUGGGGGCGCAAGGGCAGCUCUGUUCGUGGCGUCCGAUGGCCGUCAUGAUGCAUGCGUGAUUGGACUUCAACUAGCAAUUAUCAUUAUCAUCAUCAUUACUAUGGGUUACCUCAGGUCAGAGAAGACUACCCGCUGGACUUAAGCAUAUCACUAAGCGGAGAAAAGAAAGUA